GCUGUUAGGCAUCAACUCGGCAUAGGCAGAGGUCUGGCGCUAUUUAUCUGGGAUGUGUGCACCCCAUCUGUCUUCCCGUCAGCCAAUAAGCGCUCUAAUUUCUCCCACCACUAUCUCUAGUGAAUAACGGGGCCCAUCGUCAUGUAGUGGGGCUGUAGGGGUACACGGAACUCUACUGCAGAUAAGGGAGGAAGAGUUAGCGUUGAGUCUCGCCCAGUGACGUCGUGAGUGAGGGACAUUGUGGAGAGCGAAGAGAAGAGAAGGAAAACGCAGGGAUGUGCACAGUGCAACGCCACCCAAAGAUGUGUGUGUGUGUGUGUGCGUGUGCGUGUGCGUGUGUGUGUGUAGGCUAUCGUGCUUUUCCCGAGUGAACAUUUUACACCCGUCAGAAAUACAGCGAGGUUUUUUUUCAAUUUGGGUCAGAGAAUAGACGUAUUGCAGUCUUGGUUUUAGGGUUUUGGGGAAAAUGUGUUUGCACAAAAGCACACUUUUGCACACACUGCUGUCGUCAUUUGCUGUUUAAUUUCUCCCUAAGAGUCUAAUUCGACGGAAACAUGGCAAUUGAACGGGCGUCUAGUACUUGUAAGUAUGAUUAUAGUGACCAAUAGGCUACAGUAAUCGCACCUAAACUUGGUAAUGAUUGUAUGCAUGCGUUUAUUUUACUUUGAUGGACUAUUGAUACAUUUUUUUUGCAUUCAAAUCGACGUUUUGUCAACGAUCUAAAUACCAAGCAAUAUGAAUGUAUGACAACAGUAGGCUACUAAAUCAACAUUCGGCUAUCUACAGCUUUGAUUUCUAAGCGAGACUGUUAAUGUAUGCAUGGAGACAAUUAUAGGCUAAACGCAGCAUUUGACAACAGCGCCAUUAACAUAUUUUUUUUCUUUCAAUAGCGUCUCAGUAGCCUACUGGUUUAGAUUCGGACAGAUUGAAUAUUUAGGCUACAGUUAUUGGUUGUGGUGGCCAUUCGCUCUUGCGGGCACGUGCACACACAUUGAUCCUCACACACGCAAACACACACCUUUUCACACACGCCUCAGCACGGACGCUGGAUGUACAUCAACCAAGACUCUUUUUUUUUUGGUGAUCAUCUUCCUCGUCAACUGUCAUCCCGAGCCAACAGCUGAACAGUGCGGCAGUGGAGGGAUGGCAUUUCUCCUUUUAAUUAUCCUAGUGUUCCCCUCCCUCACACCGGCCAAACACAAUACAACCACAGGUAAUGGCUUUGUGCUUUCAGUUAAAUGUGAGUCUUUGACGUGACAGAUGGCAC
This 1267-nucleotide long non-coding RNA is filed under the name Oncorhynchus mykiss (rainbow trout). RNAcentral describes it as "lncRNA (ENSOMYG00000068084.1)". Lineage: Eukaryota; Metazoa; Chordata; Actinopteri; Salmoniformes; Salmonidae. The record is from RNAcentral.